Molecule: ribosomal RNA, 2906 nt
Filed under: Escherichia coli 042
Lineage: Bacteria; Pseudomonadati; Pseudomonadota; Gammaproteobacteria; Enterobacterales; Enterobacteriaceae
Description: bacterial LSU rRNA
Rfam family: Bacterial large subunit ribosomal RNA
Source: RNAcentral
GGUUAAGCGACUAAGCGUACACGGUGGAUGCCCUGGCAGUCAGAGGCGAUGAAGGACGUGCUAAUCUGCGAUAAGCGUCGGUAAGGUGAUAUGAACCGUUAUAACCGGCGAUUUCCGAAUGGGGAAACCCAGUGUGUUUCGACACACUAUCAUUAACUGAAUCCAUAGGUUAAUGAGGCGAACCGGGGGAACUGAAACAUCUAAGUACCCCGAGGAAAAGAAAUCAACCGAGAUUCCCCCAGUAGCGGCGAGCGAACGGGGAGGAGCCCAGAGCCUGAAUCAGUGUGUGUGUUAGUGGAAGCGUCUGGAAAGGCGCGCGAUACAGGGUGACAGCCCCGUACACAAAAAUGCACAUACUGUGAGCUCGAUGAGUAGGGCGGGACACGUGGUAUCCUGUCUGAAUAUGGGGGGACCAUCCUCCAAGGCUAAAUACUCCUGACUGACCGAUAGUGAACCAGUACCGUGAGGGAAAGGCGAAAAGAACCCCGGCGAGGGGAGUGAAAAAGAACCUGAAACCGUGUACGUACAAGCAGUGGGAGCACGCUUCGGCGUGUGACUGCGUACCUUUUGUAUAAUGGGUCAGCGACUUAUAUUCUGUAGCAAGGUUAACCGAAUAGGGGAGCCGAAGGGAAACCGAGUCUUAACUGGGCGUUAAGUUGCAGGGUAUAGACCCGAAACCCGGUGAUCUAGCCAUGGGCAGGUUGAAGGUUGGGUAACACUAACUGGAGGACCGAACCGACUAAUGUUGAAAAAUUAGCGGAUGACUUGUGGCUGGGGGUGAAAGGCCAAUCAAACCGGGAGAUAGCUGGUUCUCCCCGAAAGCUAUUUAGGUAGCGCCUCGUGAAUUCAUCUCCGGGGGUAGAGCACUGUUUCGGCAAGGGGGUCAUCCCGACUUACCAACCCGAUGCAAACUGCGAAUACCGGAGAAUGUUAUCACGGGAGACACACGGCGGGUGCUAACGUCCGUCGUGAAGAGGGAAACAACCCAGACCGCCAGCUAAGGUCCCAAAGUCAUGGUUAAGUGGGAAACGAUGUGGGAAGGCCCAGACAGCCAGGAUGUUGGCUUAGAAGCAGCCAUCAUUUAAAGAAAGCGUAAUAGCUCACUGGUCGAGUCGGCCUGCGCGGAAGAUGUAACGGGGCUAAACCAUGCACCGAAGCUGCGGCAGCGACGCUUAUGCGUUGUUGGGUAGGGGAGCGUUCUGUAAGCCUGCGAAGGUGUACUGUGAGGUAUGCUGGAGGUAUCAGAAGUGCGAAUGCUGACAUAAGUAACGAUAAAGCGGGUGAAAAGCCCGCUCGCCGGAAGACCAAGGGUUCCUGUCCAACGUUAAUCGGGGCAGGGUGAGUCGACCCCUAAGGCGAGGCCGAAAGGCGUAGUCGAUGGGAAACAGGUUAAUAUUCCUGUACUUGGUGUUACUGCGAAGGGGGGACGGAGAAGGCUAUGUUGGCCGGGCGACGGUUGUCCCGGUUUAAGCGUGUAGGCUGGUUUUCCAGGCAAAUCCGGAAAAUCAAGGCUGAGGCGUGAUGACGAGGCACUACGGUGCUGAAGUAACAAAUGCCCUGCUUCCAGGAAAAGCCUCUAAGCAUCAGGUAACAUCAAAUCGUACCCCAAACCGACACAGGUGGUCAGGUAGAGAAUACCAAGGCGCUUGAGAGAACUCGGGUGAAGGAACUAGGCAAAAUGGUGCCGUAACUUCGGGAGAAGGCACGCUGAUAUGUAGGUGAAGCGACUUGCUCGUGGAGCUGAAAUCAGUCGAAGAUACCAGCUGGCUGCAACUGUUUAUUAAAAACACAGCACUGUGCAAACACGAAAGUGGACGUAUACGGUGUGACGCCUGCCCGGUGCCGGAAGGUUAAUUGAUGGGGUUAGCGGUAACGCGAAGCUCUUGAUCGAAGCCCCGGUAAACGGCGGCCGUAACUAUAACGGUCCUAAGGUAGCGAAAUUCCUUGUCGGGUAAGUUCCGACCUGCACGAAUGGCGUAAUGAUGGCCAGGCUGUCUCCACCCGAGACUCAGUGAAAUUGAACUCGCUGUGAAGAUGCAGUGUACCCGCGGCAAGACGGAAAGACCCCGUGAACCUUUACUAUAGCUUGACACUGAACAUUGAGCCUUGAUGUGUAGGAUAGGUGGGAGGCUUUGAAGUGUGGACGCCAGUCUGCAUGGAGCCGACCUUGAAAUACCACCCUUUAAUGUUUGAUGUUCUAACGUUGGCCCCUAAUCGGGGUUGCGGACAGUGUCUGGUGGGUAGUUUGACUGGGGCGGUCUCCUCCUAAAGAGUAACGGAGGAGCACGAAGGUUGGCUAAUCCUGGUCGGACAUCAGGAGGUUAGUGCAAUGGCAUAAGCCAGCUUGACUGCGAGCGUGACGGCGCGAGCAGGUGCGAAAGCAGGUCAUAGUGAUCCGGUGGUUCUGAAUGGAAGGGCCAUCGCUCAACGGAUAAAAGGUACUCCGGGGAUAACAGGCUGAUACCGCCCAAGAGUUCAUAUCGACGGCGGUGUUUGGCACCUCGAUGUCGGCUCAUCACAUCCUGGGGCUGAAGUAGGUCCCAAGGGUAUGGCUGUUCGCCAUUUAAAGUGGUACGCGAGCUGGGUUUAGAACGUCGUGAGACAGUUCGGUCCCUAUCUGCCGUGGGCGCUGGAGAACUGAGGGGGGCUGCUCCUAGUACGAGAGGACCGGAGUGGACGCAUCACUGGUGUUCGGGUUGUCAUGCCAAUGGCACUGCCCGGUAGCUAAAUGCGGAAGAGAUAAGUGCUGAAAGCAUCUAAGCACGAAACUUGCCCCGAGAUGAGUUCUCCCUGACUCCUUGAGAGUCCUGAAGGAACGUUGAAGACGACGACGUUGAUAGGCCGGGUGUGUAAGCGCAGCGAUGCGUUGAGCUAACCGGUACUAAUGAACCGUGAGGCUUAACCUU